RNAcentral lists this long non-coding RNA (4235 nucleotides) under Citrus x clementina. Its description in RNAcentral is "Citrus clementina (C. clementina) long non-coding RNA (CCLE_LNC000965)". Lineage: Eukaryota; Viridiplantae; Streptophyta; Magnoliopsida; Sapindales; Rutaceae. The record is from RNAcentral.
UUUUUUUUUUAAAUUAAAAUUUGCAUAGUUUUUUUUUUUUUGCAUUCUAAACUAUACAAACAUAUUUAAUAUUUCCUUCAUCUGAAAAAAAAAUACUACAACAUCAAAUUUCUCAUAAAGUCUUCAAUAACUACUUUUUAUAGUCCAUGUAAGUAGCAACACUAACUCCCUAAGUUUAAACAUAGAACAUACAAGUUUUAAUGAGUAAAAAAUAAUAAUCAUUUACUUAUAAAUUACUCAAAUACAAACAAGCUUAAUUAUAACAGUUUAGCACUUGCAUAACCUUGAUCAAACUAACUCCUAACAAUGAAAAAAUGUACUACAUGAAUUCUCAAAUUAAAAUUCAGUAUCAUGUAACUGUACAAACAAAUAUAAACCAAAAAGCAAAUGGAGACUAUGUUUUCAGCUUACAUACGGUAGUAUUGGCACUUAGAACAUUUAUACCGAGCCAGCAAGCUUGCCCUUCAGAAACUAAAUCCUUAAUGCUUAUAAUUAUACACAUUGCAUGUUUUGCAAAGCAGUUCUUGCCUUGCAACUAGCCUUACCAAUGUAGUUUCUAUUAAAUCAAUACUUAUUGGAGCCUCAGUAUCACCAUUUUCAUUGGUUAGCUACAAAGAACAGAAACUAAAAAUUCAAAUCAAAAGGUAAAGCUAAACAAAUUAGCUUUUAAAGUAAAUGAAAAAAAGUGGAGCCUAAAAAAAUCUCAAGUAUCAUCAUUUACACUGAUUAGUUCAAUCUCGAUUUUAUGUUUACAGGCUCUUUAUUUAAGACAUGAAACUAGAAAACUUCUUCUUUUGUUGUGAACAAGAAUAAAUCUAAAAAUUCUGUCAAUCUUAUAUGGAUAAGCAAGAGGGGGAAAAAAACUCAAUUACCACAUUUUCAUAGGAACUUCAUUGCUAUAUUUAAGUUACUUGUUUUAGAGAGAGGAUGAACAAACAUAAAAUUCCCACAAUCCCACAUGCAACAUUUCUCGUAAAUAUGAUAACUUGGCUUACUAUAAUAUUGGAUACUCAACAAAGACUAGUUGAAAAAAUUACAUUAGCGACAGAGAUCAUGCUCACUGUACAACAACCAUAAUUUCAGCCAUCAAGAAGAAUACACAACUUGAUCAAGUAGCCACUGAUAACAUUUUCCUUUCACUUCCUAACAAUUAUCUUCAAACUAGCAUAUGAAUUCAGGCCAUGCUAAUUCUAAUUCUUAUUUUAUAAUGGAAGAGUAUAAUGAUCACAUUAAUCUAAUUCUACUACCAUGGAAAAUAAAGAGAAAAGAAAUAAUCAUAAAAAUUGGAUAAGCAGACAGUCAUAAUCUAGAUGCAAAACUAGUCAACAGUGGAAAUAAAUCAUCAUAUAAGGAAAUCUCAAGCACAGAACCAACCUAGCGGAUCAGAUUUCCUUUAAAGCACACUUGUAGUGCACAAAAGAGCAAAUUUCAUCUCACAAACAAAUAAGUAAAUAAUUUGUACCUAUUGUUAUUGCAGCAAUCUAACCUAGCCAUAUUGAGAUACUAAUUAAUAAAUGGAGAAGCAAAUUUAGUCUGAAAUAAUUAACUUAAUUGCACUUGACACGUAUUUUUUUCCUCAAAACCUUGAAGUAUUAUAAUAUUCCACCUAAGAUCAUUGUAAAGCUCAGCACAAUGAAGAAGAACUAAAAAUGGAUAGUAAUAUAGUAUAUCUACAAGACAAAAUAAUUAAAUGCUAAUAAGUAGGAAAUAAAUCAUUUGUGGGAUAAGAUGAAAACCUCUCGUAGUGUAUCAAUGAAAGAUUGAUAAUUUAUUAUUUAAUUAACUGACAUAGGUAGCAUUUCAGGAGUCUAUUUUGAUUUAAUGUGCAUGGAUGCCUAUCAUUCUAUCUAAAGAACUGGAAUAACAUCAGAGAUAUAAGGGUAUAGGAACAAAAUCUUAGAUUGUUAAAUUUCUUAUUAGAAAAAAAAAAGACAACAAGAACAUCUCAGUUUGUUUCCAAGGGGGCCCUCAGAAAUUUGCUCAAGAAUAAAUUUAAAAGAAAUGAAUAAUUAAUAAUUAUUAUGAGGACAUAUUUAGAAUGUCAAGCUACUACAUAAGUUAAAUUACCUUAUCACAAAGAAUGCAAACUUUUUCAAGGUUUACCUCUUGGGAAGUUUGGAAGACUUCCAAGAGAUAUAAUUUGAUUUCCACAACAACAUAUAGUUGCUGCAAAACUGAUAAAUUUUAUUUCAUUAUAACUUCAACAUUCUUUUAUGACAAAUGCGAGAUAAACAAAACAAGACAAAUUUGUAAGGACUAGCAAUUCUCUAGAGAUUCAAAUCUUGGCCCUUUAAAUGUUUACACAUGAAUAUAUUGAAGAACUAUAAUUUCAAAGGAAAAGAAAUUGAACAAAGAAUUAAAAAUUUAACAAAUAGAAUUUGACAAUCCAACAUUCAGAAAUUGAGUUUGUGCAAAUAAAUUUGAUCCAAAAGAUUCAACCAUAUCUUUGCAACAUGUUAUAACUGAUUUUUUAAAUAUAUUUUUUCAUAGCAAAUACUUGUGGUUUUAGCAAAAUUAAGUACAAAAAUAUAUUUAAAUCAAAUGGUGGGUGGAUUGAAAUAGAAAUUCAAAAGAUUAAAAAAAUAUAUAGCUUAUUCAAGACAAGAACACAAUGUAAAUGGUGCUAAAAUUUGUUACCUCUAAGAUUACAACUAAUAAAUAGAUUGUAAAGGAGAAGAAGUUGUUACUUAUUCAUUGGUUUCAAUUAUAGCUAUAUGAAGUAAAUUCAAGGUCCAUCUCGUCUUUGCACAUUUCCAAAACUAAUAAAGAUGUAAGCCUUUCCAUUUAGCACUCCAUACAGACCACGAGGGAUAUGAAAAUAUAUCAUCAUCAUCAAAUAAAAAAAUACUAAUAAUUUUACCAAAUGUAAAUAAGAAAAGAUAUUAUAAAAAAUAAAUAUUCAACUAAUUAAUCUUCAAUUAUACCGGUUUAUUAAAAAAAAAAAAGGGAAUUACUUUGGACAUAAGAAUAAACAGCAAAACAAAUAAAAAAUUACAGGCAAAAAACAGCACCAAGAAGUUCUAGGCAAUAAAGCAUGACGACAUCCAAAAAUCCAGGUGUUGGUUUUUAACAAUAAACAAUAGCAUGAAAGCACCUAGAAAAUUUUUGGGUGCUAUCCAGCUACUGCACUCAGGUUAAAAACAACAUCGCCUACUAAUUUUAACAGCAACCAAAGCAUAGCACAACCAGAAAAUUUUUGGGUGCUGACCAACUGCUGUAUUUUUGUUAAAGACAGCACAAGUUGCUAUUUUUAAUAGCAAACAACAGCAUGACAACACCCAGAAAUUUUUUUGAGUGUUGUACAGUUACUGCAUUUAGGUUAAAAAUAGCAGGCGAUGUUGUUUUUAAUAGCAAACAGAGCAUAGCACACCUAGAAAAUUUUUGGGUGCUGACCAGCUGUUAUAUUUGCGUUAAAACCUAAUGCUGUUUUUAACAACGAACAGCAGCAUGACAGCAUCCAAAAACUUUUUUGGGUGCUGACAGGCUGCUGUAUUUGGGUUAAAAACAACAGCAUGACUUUUGAAAUGAAAUGAAAAUAGUUUUUCAAGUAUGUAGGCGAGUCUCCAAAUUCAAGCAGCAAUCAAAUCCUCUGCAAUAUAACAUGAUUAAUCCUCCCACAAGUCAUUGGCUAAUGUGUAUACAAUUACAUAUAUAAAGAUUGAAGGGGAAAGCUUGCGAACUCAAACAACAGAUGUAUAAAAAUUAGAGCAGCAAUGUCCAAAUCGAAGAUUGUGAAUAAUUUGCCAGCAUACAUGUGAUUAGCCACACUCGAGAACAAAACUCAUGUCAUUUUAUAGUUCUAGGGUUCAGUCAUUUCAAAAAAUUAGUUCAUUUAAGAGGAGAAACUUUAGAAUAAAAUCCUUUUCCCAAUACAGUACAACAACCACUAUUAGGGUUUUUAACUACACAUUUAGGAGUCAAUUUUUUCAAGAAUUUUUACUAAAAUUGAUGUGCAAGAGAAGAUAAUAACAAAAAUUACCUGUUUUAAUCGUUCAAUCGGGCUUAAUCAACUGUGGGUUCUUAGUUAGGGUUUUGCAAUUCAAUGGCGGCAACACAUGCGCUCGGUGGGUACUUCGUAUGGUUCUCAAUGAGGGCCAAAUCGAUGGCAAAAGACGAGACAAUGUCUGCAUUAGUUUGUUGCCCCGCAAGGAUUUUAAUUAAAAAAGGAGAGUGAUGAGAGUAAGAGAUGAGAAUGAGAGUGCCAUCACUUAGGAAAACUCGGUGCGGAACCAUCA